UACAGAGGGUGCGAGCGUUAAUCGGAAUUACUGGGCGUAAAGAGUGCGUAGGUGGUUUAGUAAGUCAGAUGUGAAAUCCCCGGGCUCAACCUGGGAACUGCAUUUGAAACUAUUAGGCUAGAGUGCGGUAGAGGGAAGUGGAAUUUCCGGUGUAGCGGUGAAAUGCGUAGAUAUCGGAAGGAACAUCAGUGGCGAAGGCGACUUCCUGGACCGUAACUGACACUGAGGCACGAAAGCGUGGGGAGCAAACAGG
Molecule: ribosomal RNA, 253 nt
Filed under: uncultured bacterium
Lineage: Bacteria
Description: partial 16S ribosomal RNA
Rfam family: Bacterial small subunit ribosomal RNA
Source: RNAcentral